This 407-nucleotide ribosomal RNA is filed under the name Bacillus sp. PSB9. Its description in RNAcentral is "bacterial SSU rRNA". It matches the Rfam family "Bacterial small subunit ribosomal RNA", at positions 546 to 951 of the family's 1533-position model. The record is from RNAcentral. Lineage: Bacteria; Bacillati; Bacillota; Bacilli; Caryophanales; Bacillaceae.
CGGAAUUAUUGGGCGUAAAGCGCGCGCAGGUGGUUUCUUAAGUCUGAUGUGAAAGCCCACGGCUCAACCGUGGAGGGUCAUUGGAAACUGGGAGACUUGAGUGCAGAAGAGGAAAGUGGAAUUCCAUGUGUAGCGGUGAAAUGCGUAGAGAUAUGGAGGAACACCAGUGGCGAAGGCGACUUUCUGGUCUGUAACUGACACUGAGGCGCGAAAGCGUGGGGAGCAAACAGGAUUAGAUACCCUGGUAGUCCACGCCGUAAACGAUGAGUGCUAAGUGUUAGAGGGUUUCCGCCCUUUAGUGCUGAAGUUAACGCAUUAAGCACUCCGCCUGGGGAGUACGGCCGCAAGGCUGAAACUCAAAGGAAUUGACGGGGGCCCGCACAAGCGGUGGAGCAUGUGGUUUAAUU